UGUAAGUUUAUAUAGUCCCACAGUUUGCUGAAGAACUCGGGACUACAUAGAUUUACGCG
RNAcentral lists this microRNA precursor (59 nucleotides) under Eisenia fetida (common brandling worm). RNAcentral describes it as "Efe-Mir-1990-o1_pre stem-loop". The record is from RNAcentral. Lineage: Eukaryota; Metazoa; Annelida; Clitellata; Crassiclitellata; Lumbricidae.